UUAUUGCUGAUAUCAAAGGGAUUGUUUCCUUCUAAAAUACAUCAGAUAGAAAAGCGUAUCGAAGAGAUCGCUCCAGA
Molecule: unclassified non-coding RNA, 77 nt
Filed under: Leeuwenhoekiella marinoflava DSM 3653
Lineage: Bacteria; Pseudomonadati; Bacteroidota; Flavobacteriia; Flavobacteriales; Flavobacteriaceae
Description: Flavo-1 RNA
Source: RNAcentral